GCCAUCUCCUUGGGGUGCCCAUCCGGGCUGAGAGGUCUUUUCGAGACCAACCCAUCGAACCUGAUCCGGAUCAUGCCGGCGGAGGGACUGCGAGAUGACGAGCG
Molecule: non-coding RNA, 104 nt
Filed under: Microvirga vignae
Lineage: Bacteria; Pseudomonadati; Pseudomonadota; Alphaproteobacteria; Hyphomicrobiales; Methylobacteriaceae
Description: TPP sequence
Rfam family: TPP riboswitch aptamer (THI element)
About the family: Vitamin B(1) in its active form thiamin pyrophosphate (TPP) is an essential coenzyme that is synthesised by coupling of pyrimidine and thiazole moieties in bacteria. The previously detected thiamin-regulatory element, thi box was extended, resulting in a new, highly conserved RNA secondary structure, the THI element, which is widely distributed in eubacteria and also occurs in some archaea.
Source: Rfam by way of RNAcentral